CAGCAGCCACGGUAAUACAGAGGGUGCAAGCGUUAAUCGGAAUUACUGGGCGUAAAGCGCGCGUAGGUGGUUUGUUAAGUUGGAUGUGAAAGCCCCGGGCUCAACCUGGGAACUGCAUCCAAAACUGGCAAGCUAGAGUACGGUAGAGGGUGGUGGAAUUUCCUGUGUAGCGGUGAAAUGCGUAGAUAUAGGAAGGAACACCAGUGGCGAAGGCGACCACCUGGACUGAUACUGACACUGAGGUGCGAAAGCGUGGGAAGCAAACAGGAUUAGAUACCCGUGUAGUCCCUGUCUCUUAUAC
This 301-nucleotide ribosomal RNA is filed under the name uncultured bacterium. RNAcentral describes it as "partial 16S ribosomal RNA". It matches the Rfam family "Bacterial small subunit ribosomal RNA", at positions 509 to 807 of the family's 1533-position model. The record is from RNAcentral.